UACGUAGGUGGCAAGCGUUAUCCGGAAUUAUUGGGCGUAAAGAGCGCGCAGGUGGUUGAUUAAGUCUGAUGUGAAAGCCCACGGCUUAACCGUGGAGGGUCAUUGGAAACUGGUCGACUUGAGUGCAGAAGAGGGAAGUGGAAUUCCAUGUGUAGUGGUGAAAUGCGUAGAGAUAUGGAGGAACACCAGUGGCGAAGGCGGCUUCCUGGUCUGUAACUGACACUGAGGCGCGAAAGCGUGGGGAGCAAACAGGAUUAGA
This 259-nucleotide ribosomal RNA is filed under the name uncultured prokaryote. RNAcentral's name for it is "partial 16S ribosomal RNA". It matches the Rfam family "Bacterial small subunit ribosomal RNA", at positions 524 to 782 of the family's 1533-position model. The record is from RNAcentral.